Molecule: ribosomal RNA, 324 nt
Filed under: uncultured Anaerolineaceae bacterium
Lineage: Bacteria; Bacillati; Chloroflexota; Anaerolineae; Anaerolineales; Anaerolineaceae
Description: bacterial SSU rRNA
Rfam family: Bacterial small subunit ribosomal RNA
Source: RNAcentral
UGGCUGUCGUCAGCUCGUGUCGUGAGAUGUUCGGUUAAGUCCGCUAACGAGCGACCAACCCUCGUCGUAUGUUAUAUGUGUCAUACGAGACUGCCGGUAAAAGCCGGAGGAAGGUGAGGAUGAUGUCAAGUCAGCAUGACCUUUAUAUCCAGGGCUACACACACGCUACAAUGGUCUGUACAAUGGGUAGCCAAGCCGCGAGGCGGAGCCAAUCCAGCAAAACUUCCCUCAGUUCAGAUUGCAGGCUGCAACUCGCCUGCAUGAAGUUGGAGUUGCUAGUAAACGCAGGUCAGCCAUACUGCGUUGAAUACGUUCCCGGGGCUU